Molecule: RNA transcript, 1007 nt
Organism: Nematostella vectensis (starlet sea anemone)
Lineage: Eukaryota; Metazoa; Cnidaria; Anthozoa; Actiniaria; Edwardsiidae
Exons: 3
Source: RefSeq, a predicted model, not a curated record
AUCACAUCACGUGAUACACCAGUACCUCACGGGAUACACCAUCACCUCACGUGAUACACCAUCACAUCACGUGAUAAACAAGCACCUAACGUGAUACACCAUCACCUCAUGUGAUACACCAUCACCUCAUGUGAUACACCAUCACCUCACGUUAUACACCAGCACCUCACGUGAUACACCAUCACCUCACGUGAUACACCAUCACAUCACGUGAUACACCAGUACCUCACGGGAUACACCAGCACCUCACGUGAUACACAAGCACCUCACGUGAUAGACCAUCACCUAACGUGAUGCAUCAGUACCUCACGUGAUACAUCAGUACCUCACGUGAUACACCGGCACCUCACGUGAUACACCAUCACCUCACGUGAUACACCAGCACGUCACGUGAUAAACUCGAACCUCAAAUACUAUGCUGAGAUGAGAAAAAAAUAAGCACAGAAUCGAAGCACUUGUAAAUUCACGUACCCUAAAACUUUAUGGUCGUGGCUCCUCCUCCUCCUCCCCCAGGCGUGCAGAAGCCAGGCAAUCUCCUUGUCUGUGCUAUCUUUGCCUGUCUGUGUUGUGCAUGGCCUUGCGGAGCAGCCGCCAUCCAUACAAAUCAGCAGGUCGACAAGUGCUGGAAUGAAGGCCGGUACGAGGAAGCGUUGGACAACGCAAGGAAAACCAAAAUACUUAUCGCAGUCUCAAUCAUUACAGGCAUAAUAUCAAUUGUAAUUAUUGUAGCUUAUUAUGCGCAUCUUGUGAGCAGUUAUAAUUAUUUAUAAUAAUUAAUAUAAAUAAUAAUAAUUAAAUAAUAAUAAUAAUAAUGAUGAUGAUGAUGAUGAUGGUGAAUCUUUAAAAUAAAAGACUUAAAUUUGUCAAUGCUUGAAAUAUUUUGCUUUACUAGUCAUGAUAUCAUUGUCAUUGUAACCCUGUGCUUGUGCGCAUGCGCGUCUAAGCAUUCACUCAUUGCAAAAUGUAAAAUUAUUUUGUUAUUCAUGAACAAACCUAGCCUGCGAUGC